Pipistrellus kuhlii (Kuhl's pipistrelle) is the source of this 2477-nucleotide long non-coding RNA. RefSeq lists it as uncharacterized. The transcript is spliced from 2 exons. The record is from RefSeq and is a predicted model, not a curated record. Lineage: Eukaryota; Metazoa; Chordata; Mammalia; Chiroptera; Vespertilionidae.
UAGAUUUUGGCCCCUUCUCUGAUCGAGUUCGACACCCCUAAUGUAGGGUGUGAGUCAGGAAGAUGGAACCGGUGGAACCCGGAUGAGCUGCCCCGAGAUCAGCCAAAAAUAAGGAAGCAUUGAACUCAUGACCACUGAUAACGGAUGUCUAUCUGUGUUGCUGCUCUUAUCUGAUCAGAAGCAUCACUGUGGUUUUGCUGUCACUUAGAGACGCCUUGGCAGGGUGUUCACAGCUGGAAUGUUUGCAGACUUCAGGCCGUCACUGCCACCCCCUCUAGCCUGCUGUGCAGAGGUCACUGCACUGUGCAGUGCACUGAGAGACGACUCUGCUGAAACUUCCGCCCCAUGAUCUGCUUUGCUCAGGGCCCCUGCAGGUGUUGUGUGAGAGGCUGAUAGAGAAUGUGGUGUGGAGGAGACCUGGCUUGGCGUUCUGGCUCCUUCAGUUGUUAAGUGGGUGAUUUUGGACACGUUCGUUGUCUUCUUAAAACGGACUUUCUUCAUCUGUAAGAUGGUCGCACUCAAAAUGACCACAAGGUGUACAUGAGGAUGCGAGGGAAGAGCACGGGAGGGUUGUAGCAGGAGUUAGGGUCUAAUGGUGCCUUGGCCAUGGUAGCUGUGCUCUGUUAGGAUAGUCUUUCACCUAGCAGAGGUCCUCACACACAACAUCUGAGGCAGCCAGUGCAUGCUGGAGAGUGUCCUGUUUUGCACUUUGUACAUAGCUCUUCAUUUAGCUGCUUUUCCUAGCUGAUUCCUAUAGUUCUAUGUCCUUCUCCUCUGAUGGGAUGUGAACCUUUGCAUUACUUUGCUGCGGCUGCCGUAACGAAGCACCACAGACGGGGUGGCUUAAACAACACGAGUUAACCUUCUCACAGUCUGGAAGUCCAAGGUCAAGGUGCUGCCAUGGGAGGCUUCUUCAGAGACCUCUCCUUGGCUUGUAGAUGGUUGUCUUCUCUGUGCCUCCACGUGGCUUUCCCUCUGUAUGUCGCUGUCCUAAUCUCUUCUUAUAAGGACAUCCGUCACAUUGGAUUAGGGACCACGUUGGUAACCUCAUUGUAACUCUUCAAGCUCUGUCUCCUAGUUCAGGCAUGUUCUGAGGUACAGGGAUUAGGACUUCCGUACACGAAUUUUGGGUGUUAUAAUUUACCCCUAAACCACUUUGAAGGGCAGGCGUUAUAAUUUCAGCUCAUGCAUUCUUUAUCCUCAGCACCUGGCCAGAAGUGCCUGCCGUGUAGAAGCUGCUCACUAAAGAUUAAAAGGCUGAGUGAUUGCAUUAAUGGCUACUUUAGCUUUGAAUGGCCCGCCCUCUGAGAAGGAAAGUGGAAACAGAAGGAAAGUGGGUAAUCACGGCAUUUGUCAGCAUAGAUGGAACUCAUUUUGUUUACUAAUCUCAUUGAUGUUUCCUUUAUUACUGAUUCCAUUCUAAAAAGGGAUGUUUUCGUAUUAUAGUAAAAGUUUUUUUUUUUUAAAGUAAUACCUUGGGUAUUCAGUCAAUACCACUCCCGGUACCCACUCCCACAUCUAAUAGGUAUAUAACACAUGAAAAAUAGGAUAUUCUCCUAGAAGUAAGUUAUUUUAGAUGCUAUAAUAAAUAAUGUGCUCUGGUUUAUUCAAGGGAUUCUUUUUCUCAUGAAUUAAAUACUACCAGCAUGUAUCACACAUUAUUUAUCACCCAUCUAAAAUACCCAAAAUAGUUAAAUUCAAGAGAAAAUAGCAUCAUCAACAGCAAUUAGUAGUCCUUCAUCAGAAGAGAAUAAAUUUUUUUCCUUGUUGUCAUAUUCUCCAACAUGAAUUAGAAUUUUCAGGUGCAAUGUCAACAGAAAAAAAUACCCCCAAGUUAGAAACUGAAACUCUGAAGUGUUUUGAAUCUCCUCAGGAUAGUUACCCCUACUUUCUUCCCUUUUCCAAAGUGGGUCUUAAAAACCUAAAAGGAGCUGCUGUAAGUUAAAGUUCGAACAGAAAAUAGAACCAAAACCUUAAUUUACAUUUCUUUGAUGACUUAAAUUAUAUGAACACCGCCUUGCUUUUUUUUUUCCUUUGCAGUGAAAAGAGUAUUUUCGUUGCUUUUUUAAAGCCUCGUUUAGAAAUGAGUACUUUUCACCUAUAUAUUUAAGAGACGGAGAUAUUUUUGCUACCAAGAGAGAAAAAAGAGGGAACAACCCACCCAUCCAACGCUGCCGCGACCUGAAAUAGAUCCCCAGUGGUUUGCAGGCUCCGUGGCAGGCCAGCCUGUCCCCCGGGUGACUUCUGGGAGGCAGGGGUGAUGGGCAGGGGGGCUGGGAGUAUAUAGGAAACUGUUCUGCGUUUGUAUAAAUAUUGACACUUAAAGGUGAGAGAAAAGUUGGCCGUUUCUAGGUCACCUGUUCUGUCAUUCUUGCUUUCCAGAGCAAAAUACGUCAUCUACAGUAGACUUAACAUUUAGAUGCGUUUUGAAAUGAAAUACAAGUGAUGUAAUAAUUAUGCCUUGGCCUGGUAUACAU